CCUGAUGCAGCGACGCCGCGUGAGGGAUGACGGCCUUCGGGUUGUAAACCUCUUUCAGCAGGGACGAAGCGCAAGUGACGGUACCUGUAGAAGAAGGACCGGCCAACUACGUGCCAGCAGCCGCGGUAAUACGUAGGGUCCGAGCGUUGUCCGGAAUUACUGGGCGUAAAGAGCUCGUAGGUGGUUUGUCGCGUUGUUCGUGAAAACUCACAGCUUAACUGUGGGCGUGCGGGCGAUACGGGCAGACUUGAGUACUGCAGGGGAGACUGGAAUUCCUGGUGUAGCGGUGGAAUGCGCAGAUAUCAGGAGGAACACCGGUGGCGAAGGCGGGUCUCUGGGCAGUAACUGACGCUGAGGAGCGAAAGCGUGGGGAGCGAACAGGAUUAGAUACCCUGGUAGUCCACGCCGUAAACGGUGGGUACUAGGUGUGGGUUUCCUUCCUUGGGAUCCGUGCCGUAGCUAACGCAUUAAGUACCCCGCCUGGGGAGUACGGCCGCAAGGCUAAAACUCAAAGAAAUUGACGGGGGCCCGCACAAGCGGCGGAGCAUGUGGAUUAAUUCGAUGCAACGCGAAGAACCUUACCUGGGUUUGACAUGCACAGGACGUGCCUAGAGAUAGGUAUUCCCUUGUGGCCUG
This 636-nucleotide ribosomal RNA is filed under the name Mycobacterium sp. Se1Ps_1934. RNAcentral's name for it is "bacterial SSU rRNA". It matches the Rfam family "Bacterial small subunit ribosomal RNA", at positions 382 to 1030 of the family's 1533-position model. RNAcentral also lists the same sequence under 1 other name. Lineage: Bacteria; Bacillati; Actinomycetota; Actinomycetes; Mycobacteriales; Mycobacteriaceae. The record is from RNAcentral.